CUUUAUUUGCGCAGCAUAGGUGGGAGGCAUUGAGUUUAUUCUUGCGGGAAUUUAGGAGCCAUCAGUGAGAUACCACUCUGGUAAUGUUAGAUUUCUAACUUUGUAUCAUGAUCUGGUCAAAGAACAGUUUCAGGCGGGCAGUUUGACUGGGGCGGUCGCCUCCCAAAUGGUAACGGAGGCGUACAAAGGUUUCCUCUGAACGUGUAGAAAUCGUAUCUAGAGUGUAAAGGCAUAAGGAAGCUUGAUUGUGAGACCUACAAGUCGAGCAGGGACGAAAGUCGGUCUUAGUGAUCUGACGGUGCUGAGUGGAAAGGCCGUCACUCAACGGAUAAAAGUUACUCUAGGGAUAACAGGCUGA
Molecule: ribosomal RNA, 358 nt
Filed under: uncultured eukaryote
Lineage: Eukaryota
Description: LSU rRNA
Rfam family: Bacterial large subunit ribosomal RNA
Source: RNAcentral